RNAcentral lists this ribosomal RNA (422 nucleotides) under uncultured bacterium. RNAcentral's name for it is "partial 16S ribosomal RNA". It matches the Rfam family "Bacterial small subunit ribosomal RNA", at positions 360 to 773 of the family's 1533-position model. The record is from RNAcentral.
AAUCUUCCGCAAUGGACGCAAGUCUGACGGAGCAACGCCGCGUGAACGAUGAAGGCCNNNGGGUCNUAAAGUUCUGUUGUUAGNGACNAACGAGUACCAUUCGAAUAGGGUGGUACCUUGACGGUACCUAACCAGAAAGCCACGGCUAACUACGUGCCAGCAGCCGCGGUAAUACGUAGGUGGCAAGCGUUGUCCGGAAUUAUUGGGCGUAAAGCGCGCGCAGGCAGUCUUUUAAGUCUGAUGUGAAAGCCCCCGGCUCAACCGGGGAGGGUCAUUGGAAACUGGGAGACUUGAGUGCAGAAGAGGAGAGUGGAAUUCCAUGUGUAGCGGUGAAAUGCGUAGAGAUAUGGAGGAACACCAGUGGCGAAGGCGACUCUCUGGUCUGUAACUGACGCUGAGGCGCGAAAGCGUGGGGAGCAAAC